GUCCACGCUGUAAACGAUGAGUGCUAGUUGUCGGCAUGCAUGCAUGUCGGUGACGCAGCUAACGCAUUAAGCACUCCGCCUGGGGAGUACGGUCGCAAGAUUAAAACUCAAAGGAAUUGACGGGGGCCCGCACAAGUGGUGGAGCAUGUGGUUUAAUUCGAAGCAACGCGCAGAACCUUACCACCUUUUGACAUGUCCAGACCGCCGGAGAGAUCCGGUUUUCCCUUCGGGGACUGGAACACAGGUGCUGCAUGGCUGUCGU
This 262-nucleotide ribosomal RNA is filed under the name uncultured bacterium. RNAcentral describes it as "partial 16S ribosomal RNA". It matches the Rfam family "Bacterial small subunit ribosomal RNA", at positions 793 to 1055 of the family's 1533-position model. The record is from RNAcentral.